This 258-nucleotide unclassified non-coding RNA is filed under the name uncultured fungus. RNAcentral's name for it is "sequence contains ITS2". Lineage: Eukaryota; Fungi. The record is from RNAcentral.
AACGCACAUUGCGCCUAAGAGUAUUCUUUUAGGCAUACCUGUUCGAGCGUCGUUUCUAGAUUAUAGCAUUGCUAUGCGUUGGUAUUCUGUAGGUUCAAUCUACUGAUUACUGAAAUAAUGAGGCUACAUGAAUUUCAACCAGAAGUACAGUGGAAUGUAAUUUGCGGUUGACUCAAAAUUCAAAAGUAGUGUAUAUCAUGAAAUAUUUAAUGAAAUUAGUUCGACCUCGAAUCAGGUAAGAUUACCCGCUGAACUUAA